Molecule: long non-coding RNA, 1381 nt
Organism: Esox lucius (northern pike)
Lineage: Eukaryota; Metazoa; Chordata; Actinopteri; Esociformes; Esocidae
Source: Ensembl
UUUGAGGAUUAAUUUUUUUUUUUUAAUCCUGUCAAGAUUCCCGGGGUAACUUGCCUGGCUGACACCAGCUCUCAAAGUUCUACUGUCGACGUGUCUGGUUGCGUCAGCCAAGCUAUGAGUCUAUUACAGGGGCAGAGGGAGUUGGUUCAGCUAAGAAAGGAGAGUGAAGAGACAGGUGGGACGGAGGAACAACUCACAGAGCAACUUGGGUCUACUGGCUUUCUCAGGGACAAAACAACAGACUGUUCACGAUUCCGGUUUGUUUAUUCAAUGUAGCGAUUUCUCGAUUACUGGUCAGAUGCUCUAUCCAGUAGGCCACCUGCUGCACUCCAUCAACCUCUCAACGCAACCCUCUAAACCAACAUAACAUCAUCAUAAUUAAGCUACUUACCACACACUUCCAAACCAUUAUAAUUACUACCACUGAACACCAUGUCCUAAAGUCUGUCUUUUAAAACACAUGGUAUGUUGGCCUGGUAGAACAGUAGUUAGUUCUAGGGCUUAAUCUGUGUCUGGGGAAACUGGCUCCUAAUGAUUCAUAAGACAGAGACGGUCCUUCAUCUACUUGGGUUGGCAUUUGUUUGAUGGCGGGGGGGAACACGAGGGCAUGUCUCUGUCACGAGAACAACCUGGAAAGACAAAGCAAGGCAAGUGAACAACGGCCCGAGGGAUCCAGAAUGUCUGGUGGUUGCUCGUUUCAUACAGGGCACGGUGCCAGUAACUGUUGUCCAGCCCUUGAGCAAGGCAGGUAACCUAUAGGGUUCCAAGGUGGCCAUUAAUAACAGCUGUGUCUUAAUGUGAUAGGCAAAUAAGAAAUGUUUUGUAUAAUACACAAUGUACAUGUGUGAAAUAGAACAAAUGCAGCCACCCAUUGUUAUUAUUGUUGUUAGUAUUAUUAUGUUAUUGUGACUAAGGUUCUAUGUGUUGUUGCCUUGUCGUGUUCUAGUGACUCCUUCUGGUUGAUUUGGGCACCUGCAAGCUUAACUGUGGCCAUUAACCAGUGAAGUGCCAUUGGUUCUUGGUUGAGGGAGCAGUGUUAUAAGCGUUAUGGUCUGGAGGGAUAGGCUCAGGAGGACACAUGUCCUUGACUCCUGAACCAGUUCGAAGCUGCUGCCAAUUCAAAAUUAAAUAAACAACUGCCUCACAACUGGGUUUUGUCUGCUAAUCAUCUGUUACAGCGUCAGUGUCUAGUGCUGUUAUAGGAUCAGGUCCCCUCUGUCUUUGUUCAGCAUGAUCUAAAUGUAAACACUCUUCGUAGACCCUGCUUUUUAAACACGGGCCCAGAUAGUCAUUGAGAAAAUAAUCAGAGGAAAGUUUGGCGUGUGUAGGCAUCCUCCUCCGCUUAGCAUAGUGACUUUGAUUGAUAACUAUAUAAACUGUC